CACGGCCUAUCAGCUUGUUGGUGAGGUAAAGGCUCACCAAGGCGAUGACGGGUAGCCGGCCUGAGAGGGUGACCGGCCACACUGGGACUGAGACACGGCCCAGACUCCUACGGGAGGCAGCAGUGGGGAAUAUUGCACAAUGGGCGAAAGCCUGAUGCAGCGACGCCGCGUGCGGGAUGACGGCCUUCGGGUUGUAAACCGCUUUCAGCAGGGAAGAAGCGAAAGUGACGGUACCUGCAGAAGAAGCGCCGGCUAACUACGUGCCAGCAGCCGCGGUAAUACGUAGGGCGCGAGCGUUAUCCGGAAUUAUUGGGCGUAAAGAGCUCGUAGGCGGUUUGUCACGUCUGCUGUGAAAGCCCGGGGCUCAACCCCGGGUGUGCAGUGGGUACGGGCAGACUAGAGUGCAGUAGGGGAGACUGGAAUUCCUGGUGUAGCGGUGAAAUGCGCAGAUAUCAGGAGGAACACCGAUGGCGAAGGCAGGUCUCUGGGCUGUUACUGACGCUGAGGAGCGAAAGCAUGGGGAGCGAACAAGAUUAGAUACCCUGGUAGUCCAUGCCGUAAACGUUGGGCACUAGGUGUGGGGAACAUUCCACGUUUUCCGCGCCGUAGCUAACGCAUUAAGUGCCCCGCCUGGGGAGUACGG
RNAcentral lists this ribosomal RNA (643 nucleotides) under uncultured actinomycete. Its description in RNAcentral is "bacterial SSU rRNA". It matches the Rfam family "Bacterial small subunit ribosomal RNA", at positions 232 to 885 of the family's 1533-position model. The record is from RNAcentral. Lineage: Bacteria; Bacillati; Actinomycetota; Actinomycetes; Actinomycetales.